GUACAAUGAAAUAGUAAUUUUCAUUUUGUUACUGCUUUGUCCUCAGAAUGCAUGCACCAGUCCCCAUUGUUCUCAGGUUAGGAAGGAAUGGAUGUUUAUCGUCCUGAGUCUUCUUUGCUCAUAACCACUGGCUUCCCAAUUCACUGUCGGUCUCUGUUCUAAUAUCAGAGGGGAAAAAAAAGAAGACAUUCUUAAUUUCUCAAACUUGAUUAGAAAAAUGUUGCAAAAACCUCAUCACACGCUCAAAUCAGACCCCAAACACAUAAAUUUCAUUAGAUGACAAUACAUAGCUAUUACCACAGAUUUACAAACAUCUUCACAAAAAGUUUCAAAAAACUUCCACAAGUUAAAUCAUCCAAUUUUCAUCCCAUGUGCUUAUCCCUCAGAACCACUGGUGGAAGUUGUUGUUAAACAGUGGGUCUUGCAUGCAAGCUCUACAGUUAUGCACAGUAUUUCCAUGACAUCCCAAGCCAUGAGGUUCAUGCUGCCAUAUCCCCCUGUUUAACAAGUGUGGAAACUGAUAAUGGACUCACAAUUGCUGAUGUAUAGGUUCUAAUGUUUUCUAUUGUGGACACGGGACACCCAGACUGAGGUUCGUGGAUUUUUGAAAUUUCUAAUAAUAAGAUAAAUUUGUGACUUAAUUUUGAGUGGAUGAACUUGAUUUGUUGUGGUUAUAUUGUUCAGUUAGUAUGUAAGUAAAUAUACAAAUAAAUGAAAAAGGGGUUGGCCAACUAUCAAUGUAUAGAGCACAUUGAUAGCAAAGUUGUUUACAUAACUUACACUUUUAGUCCUUAAAUACCAUACGAAUUGAGCAUGUUUUAUCUCUCCUUCUGAGAUCAUUAAAUGGGUCAUUAAAUAUAGGGACUAUAAGCAACUGUCAAUAUUGAUUAGGGUAGUUCAAUGUUAACAUUGUUGAUUUUUGAAGCUUUAUUAUGAACUUGGAAGCAAAGGCGCCACACACUGAAAUUAAGGAGAUCCAAAGACUUACUUUGAUAAUAGAAAAUUCAUAGCGAUUAUCAUAGGUUCAUAUGAUAUCACAUUAAUUGUUAUGCAAAACUUAUUCUUGUGAGUUCUCAAAGGUAGUUAUCCUCUCUAUUCAUCCCACAGAACCAAUGGCUCCAGUCUGAUUUAAACAUGGGUCCGUGCUCACACACUCAAUACCUACCCUCUGUGCUCACAAGUCCUGUGUGAGUAAGACUCCAAAUUAUUCUGUCUUGUUUUACUCAAUGGUAUGCUCUACCUUAUUAUAGAGUAUACCAUGUAUUGAGACAAGAAUGCCAGUCAUUCUGA
This 1290-nucleotide long non-coding RNA is filed under the name Mus musculus (house mouse). RNAcentral describes it as "RNA imprinted and accumulated in nucleus". The record is from RNAcentral. Lineage: Eukaryota; Metazoa; Chordata; Mammalia; Rodentia; Muridae.